CCAGCAAGCCCUUUCGAAUGCUCAAGAAGUUCUAGUUCAACCCCGCUUAUAGAUUAUGAGGCUAUGCUAUAAUCUGCAUCGAUGUCCCUUGGCCGCUCACCAAUAUUCCUCUUAUCCCUAUCGGUAGGUCCCCAGUUAUCAUAGAAAUCCUAAACAACCCCCCAAUUUACCAACUUCCAAUACCUCUUUAAACUGUUAGCAGAUAUCCUCUAUCCGUACAGUCAGAUUAACACAACCACACAUGCAUUCAACAUACUCAACCUUCUAGACAACUCUGAAUUUCAACCACAGAAGUAUCUCCCAUUUCAUCAACAAUCAAGAGUACCAAUCUUUCCUCUCUUACAAAAAAAAAUCCAGUUCACCAAUAUAACACUCACUUUCAGCAAUAGUGGCCUCAGUCUUUCCAAAACCCUAUGAAGAAAAAAAAAUCCCAAUUCUCUAUCUUUUUCGAAGCAUGAAGCUAGCUCUCGGAUCCUUAAAACCCUGAUUCUCUCAUUUCCAUUUCUUAACCUAUCCUCCCUUUUAACCUUGAGAAGAUCCUAUUCUUCUGCCUUGGACUCUCCGAAUUGGAACAGCCGAUGGAGCUUUCUUCCUCAUUUUUGCCUUUAAGAGAUCUUUUUACCGAAAAGAUGUUCCCGGAAUGGUACAAAGAACAGAACAACCUGAAACGAAAUCGAAGCCCGUAAUCAGACCACAUUGGGUUGCCCGACCAAGUCAGGUCUCAUAUUGGAUAAGAGGCCCAUAAUAGGACCUGGAUUAGAGGUCUUUUGAAAUUGGAUUUAAUUGGCUCUUCGAACCAGGCUCACCCGUCGUUGAAUUGGUCCUCACCCUUUCUGUUGAUUCCCAUUAUUGAAAUCGAACGGAGCAUUUCGUUACUGGUGAGUAUGCCUCGACUGACUAUAACGAGGUGGCUGAACCUGACAUCUCAGUAUUUGUACUGGAAUUGGCCAUCGCUUCUAACACCCAAGGUGACUAAAUAUUAAUAAAUCUUCUUCAUUUAUAUUUUCAUCAUAUAGACGUGUUACAACAUGACAGCGCUACUUGCUCUCCUGCGAUUGCUUCAUCCAGGUCCUGAAUUAGAUUCUUGUCUUUUUGUUGGCCUCUGGUAAGUACUACGUUCACCACCUCGACAUGAUGUACUAGUGAGUCUCGUUGAACAAGACCUUUAUCCUCCACCAAUUGGCUUAUUUGCAUUUGUUGAUCCAAGUUAUUAUAAUUAAAAGGUGCAUUGCACCGCUGAUAAGUGUGACCAGACUGCUUAUAAUUUCUACAUUUUGAAGUAUAGUCAUCACUGGCCCUUGGAUUAGGACAUUCACUCGUAUAAUAUCCAAUUUGUCUACAACGAUAGCAACGAAGUGGUCUCCUGCCAGCUCCUUCAGGGAUAUUGGGUGUCUCUACUGGAAUAUAACGGCUAGGUCUAUUCCAUGUUGGAUGAAUAAAGGAUCCUAAUUGACUUAUUAUUACUAUAGAUUCUAGCAUUGGCUUCGUCAUGGGUGGAUAUUGAUGGUAUCUUGGUUGGUUCAUCGCCAAUCCGUGAGUAUUGGAUACACCUUCUUGGUGAAAUUUAGAGUUUCAGAAAUUGGAAUAAUUCUUGUUUUGUUUAUUUGCUCGAUUUCCAUUUCAGCCAAACUUAUUAUUCGUUUGUACUUGAUUGACAUCCCAUGAAGUUGGUUGAGUCAUUAUUUGUUACUGAGUUGUUGUUGCUUCCAUAAAUUCUAACAGUUGGUGGUAAUAUAUUUACCCUCACAAAAGGUACAUUGUACAGUCAUUUGGGGUGGUGAACGACAUUCUGUUAUUAAAUGAACUUGCCCCUUAUAACUGCUGCACCAGACAUUGGAACGCAUAUUGGUUGGUUUAUGCCUUUUUUCUUUAUCCUUGGCCAGAUUCACAGCCAAUUCAUCCAUUUUUUUUGUCAAUGUUAAUAGCAAUGACUCAUUGGGAUCCCUUGAUAUCAAUACAUUUGACAAUUCCUUCAUAGGUAUUGAUUUUUGAUAUGUAGAAUAAGGUACAUACGGGUGUGAUGAUGAUGGUAGUACAGCCUACAAUGGAAUGACAUCCGCUAUUCCUUAUGGAACUGUACCAUAAUCAUUCUUUUCCAGAUAACUUUCCGAUGCAUCAUUCCAAUUUGUCAUUUGAUAACCUCCUUGAGAUGGAAUCAUUGUGGCUCCAACUAUUAAGUUCUGGUCAUAGUGACAUUCUUUCCAUACUUUUGUUCGCUCAAGAGAUGAUGCAAUGGUGGUUGAUUGGGCCUCCUUUACAAACAUCUUCAAUUCUAGUGGAUGUAGUCCAUUAACCAAUAUGGACAACACAAACAAUUCCAGUAUUUGGUUAUUUGGCCAUUUUUGAAGUAUAUCUGCUACACGACCAUAAUAUGAUUGUACUGCUUUCCUUGAUACUAUUUUGCUGUUAAUUAAUUUUUCUCUAAGACGUUCUUCAAAACCAAUUAGUCAAAAAUGGAUUAAAAAUAUAUUUUUUAAUGCCUCCCAAUUGAUAAAUUGUUCCACAUGUUGGCAGUUAUACCACUCAAACGCUAUGUCUUUCAAUGUCGCUGGUAGCCAUCUUAAUCAAAUAUCUUCUAUUCUUCCAUUAUUGGCUACACAUGUCGACAAGAAUUGAGACAAAUGUUGAUUUGGAUCCACACUUGGUAAACUCCAAAAAAAUAGGUAAUAGUGUGAUGCUAGUUGUUCGAUCACCAACUGCAUCCAUUUGAAUUGCAAUCAAAAUUACUAGUCCUCUGGACGCCAUUAAAGAUGUCGAUGUUCUGCUCAAUUCCUUAUUAAAAUAAAAACUAUUCUCGCAAAAGUCUUUUUCAGACUUCCAGGCAUUCUCGAUUGACUAUUAUUAUCCUCAAAUAAUUUUACUAGUUGAAUAGGAGGUGAAAAUGACAAGUUUUGAUAUACUCUGAAUUGGUCUUUAUUAGCAAGUGAUUUAUGCCAAUCUUCAGAACCAGUCUUGUUAGAAUCAAACAUAUCUCCAAUUAGAAAAAUACCCAAUGGGAUAUCUAAUUCCUCUAUGCCUUCUUCGCUUUCCGUUAACGACUUUGAGAGGUAUGCUGGACUAUUAGCAGCGCUCCACGUGAGUGCUCUUGGUAAUUUCUUUAAUGGUAUGUACUUCUGAAAUAUUAGAGGCUGAUUGUCUUCUGGGUACGAUUGAAUAUACUGACAGGCAUGCAACCACGGCUUAAUCCAACUUUGUCAAUGUUUCUUUUUCAAUUUAUGAUCUCACUCAUUAUGCAACAAAUUUCUUACUUGCGAUCUCUUUGUUCUUUCCUUUGAUUGCUUUAUUCUCUUUGUUGUUAAAUUCUCAUUCUUAAUACCCAUAUUCUUUCAUUAUUUCUAUUGAGUUUGCUUUCGAAUCUCCUUUACUACUUCGGCAAUUAAUUCCUAAUACUCAAUAAUGUUCUCAAUCUUCGGCAGUGGCACCAAAAUUUAAUUGUCGUUUUAUUUAUUUUGGAAGAAACCUCCCAGAAUAAACUUGUAUAGGGGAAUUCGAACAAAAGAAAAGACCAUGUAUAUGAGCUCGAAUUUUUAGGGUCACACAAUUAACCGCUACUACUGAAUGUUUACCAUACCGAAGAACACUUAAUUUUUCUUCCUACUGUCUAUUGUCUCAUAUCAAUACGAUAACAACCACGACAUCGAUUUCAGUAUCCUAUAUAAUUCACAAAUAUAUAAGCAUAAUCCAAACCCUGGAACAAACAACUUCCUAUCCACAGAAUCCGAUCGAGACAAUUCUUUUGAUUAUAAUUCCUCUCCACUGAACUUAAAACCUUGCGAUAAACAGUGACUGGAAACUUCCAUACAUCAUCAAUCUUUGACAACAAUAGAUAAAUAGUGAUCCAUAAAUAACUUCGUAAAUCAAACAUUGAUUCACUAAAUCAAUUUUCUUCACUAGAAUCAACACUAACACAAAAGAAACAAGAAAAUUAAGAAGAAGAGAUAGCACCAAGCUUAUCCCCGACUCAUGACUAUCACAGUUUGGCAUUUUCUUCCUUUCCCAUCCUCUUUAUAUUACUCCAAGAUACCAACUCAUAUACUAUGGAUGAUAACUACUUUUUCUGACUAUUCAUCCAUUUUACCUACUAAACCACCUUUUCAGCAGUUAUCUAUCCAUGUUUACACUAUACACUAGAUAUCUACAUUUUAAAAAUAACUACUUAUUCUAUAGCUUGGAAUGCCACUUCAAGUCUUUCCACUAGUAGAAACAGGUGUGGCAUAAAUGACACAAGGUAAUCCUUCUUUUGUAGCAUGCAAGAAAGCACUUGUACCUACAAAUAUAGAUUUAAAAAUAUAGAUUUAAUUAUACUAGAUUUAUGACUUUCUACUUGAUUAACUAUACUCUUAGUUAUACUUUCAGAAAAGUCAAGACUAUGAGAAGUCCAAUCUAUUUUAGGAUUAUAUUUUUCUAGCCAUGAUAAAUCUAAAAUGAUUGGAUUAGAAUGAGAUCUAAUAAUAUUAAAUAUUAUAAAGUUAAUAUGACUAUUAGUUGCUAUUUCUAUAGGAAGAGUUUCAUGAGUAACAUACCCUAAAGACAACGGACGACCAUCUCUGACUUCUACAUGAACAGGUUUAGUUUUCUUUACUAAAAAUAUAUUGUGUCUUUUAGCAAAUUUUUCAUCUAAAAAACAUGUUAAGGAUCGUGAAUCUAACAAGGCAGAGGCUUUGAGAUAUUUAGGUCCUAGAAUAACAUUUAUUGUAAAACAUGGAGAAGAUUUUGAGGAGAAGAUAGGACCUUCACUAGGCGUUGUACAAGGUUCCAGCCGCACGGUCCCUAUUGUAGUUGGAUAAAUUCGUUUUCUGACAUGCUAUCUUCUUUGAUUGUUGUAUGCCUCAUUUUAUAAUUGCGUCGCUUCUUUGGUCAAUAUUUAGUAGUGUGCUUAGGUUCUCCACAAUAUAAGCACAAUCCUUCUUGAUAAUGAUGAGUCUUUUCUUACUCAGCAAGAGGUUUGAAACGUACUGCAUCAAUUUAUAUAUCCUCUAAUUCUGAAUGUGUGUUGAAAAGAUGUUGGUGUUGCUAUUGAAUUAUAGUUACGUUGAGGUCCACUUGUACGGUUCUCAUAUUGGAAUUCAAUAAGGCGAUUGUUGCACUUCACAGCAAAGUUAAUUGCUUGACUCAAUGUUUGAUGAUCAACUAAGUUGAGCAUUAAUUUUUUUACUUCAUAUUGUAAUCCGUAGAGAAAUUGGCUAAUAAGUGCAGCAUCAUUCUACUUGAUAUCUGUUGCAAGUUGUCAAAAUUAAGAAACAUAUAAUAUUAUUGAUCGAUUAUCUUGUCGUAAAAUAUGGAUCUUAUUGAUUGCAACACAAAUUGUAUCAUGUUCUCUAUACAUGGAUCGAAAUUCCACCAAAAAAACUCUAGAUUAUCCAAUAUUGGAUCUCGUCAUUCAAGUAAAGAUGAAAACCAUGAUAAUACUGAACUUGAAAGAAGCAUACCAAUGAAUCUAACUUGUGAUCUUGAAGUUGGAUAGCUCUGGGAUUGAAGUUCAAUCAGAAGUUGUACUUGUUUGAUAAAUCCUCGAAAUUUUGAUCUGGUGCCAUCAAACUUGUCGAGUAAGAUAAUUCUUGAUUCUCUAACAUUGGAAGAACAUUCCACCAUAGGAAAAAGAACAUGAUUUGGUACAAAUGUUGGAGCAGCUCCAAUCAUUUCUAUAUCUUCACUUCCUACCAAUCUUGUUACUCCCUGUGGCGGUAAAUUGAGUCGAUGCAUCACAAGCAUUAACUCCCUCAAUUGUUCUUGCAUUUGUAUCAUUGCAUUCUUCAUUUCAGCAAGUUCUGCCAUGAUAAUACUUAGAAAAGAGAAGAUGUCUAAUAUUGCUCAAGACAAAUAGAAGAGAGGACUUGAGAACAAAGAAAAUACUAAAGACAAUAUCAGUUUAGAAGAGGGUAAUCUGCAACUUCUAAUAUGCUUGUGUCUUAUCAAGAAAAAGAAAUAAUCCACUCUUAAUCAAGAUUAGACAAAGCUCUGAUAUUGUAAGUGUAGUCUUGUCAAUCUAUCAAGGACAAGAACAUCAUAAAGAUAAAUAAACAAGUGAGACUUCUCUCAAAAAAAAGAUGAAAAAAUAUAAAUAAUUUAAUAUAUAUAUUAAGAAAGAAACUGGAAUGGCUAUUGCCAAAAGAAAAGAAAACUAGAGACCCUUGAAACUAGACUAGAAGCAAGAAAGGAGUUGAAAAGAGUGAAGACGGCUUCACUCUUGUUUCUAUAUAUACUAUCUAACUAGGGGCUAUGUGGCGACGUUCUAUAGGACCUUCAAUAUGUGUUGACUUUGUAGGACACAUGCCUUGACUUACAAGGCAAGUUUUUCUAUAUGUGGGCCACAUAGUUAGCUUGGUCUUCAACCUAACAACAUGUGUGGCACAUGGCCAACUUGUUGACCACGUUUUUAAUCCAAAAAGUCAAUUAAAGAUACUUAUAAAGUCAAAGUAGCGUCUAUAAAGCUUGUAGGAAGCUUCCAUACCAAAUAUUAUAGAAUUAACUUACUUUUACUUACUUUUACUUACUUCUACCUAUUUAUACAUGUAAUUAUUGGAUUACAUGUGUAUGUCUGUGAUACCUCCAACAUUAAAACUUAAAUUGGUGCUAUCAUCUUUGGAAGGCGUAAAAAGAGUAUUACAAUCUAAGAAUUUAGUAACAUAGUAUGAAUCUUGAGAAUCAGCCUUGAAACUGAUUUCAACUUAAUCGCCACAAGUAACGUCUCUGUUUUUUCUCUCCUCACUCGACUCCUCUUAGCAAAGCAUCGAGAGAUACCUUGAAGUCACAAACAUCAAGACAAUAAGAAUUAACCAACAAACUAUGUCGUAUGAAGAAUAAUUGGAGCAUUUGAAAAAAAAAACUCAUAAUUACAGGCAGAAACACUCCCACAAUGAACUCUAUAACCUUCAUAGAAAUAAAAUCCUUAUGUGUUGUUUUGUUGUCACCCCUCAGGAAAGAGUUGAACAAAUUAGUGUAAAAUUGGGGCUUACAACAUAGUAGAUCCCAUCGUCAAAUCCAAACGGGUGACUUUGUAACAAGGGAGGGUGUUAGAACAUUCAUCGUACGUAGCCAUCUUCAUUGACUUCUAUCAUAGACAAAACUUAGAUCCUGGAAUCAUGGUGGCUUACCCUGUACCCAGUGUGAUUGCAAGUGCAUUUAUAUCUAUGAUUGCUACAGCCGUAGUAUGUAAGUCUCGCACCAUUUCUAUAUUAUUGUUGUUAUUCUUUUUUAUCUUGUAUUCGCCUCUCAAGGUGGCCAUAAUUCUUGCUACGUUGAGAACACAGUAGUUGAUGAAGGAUGCAGUGAUGGAUGUUCUCAACAGUGCUGCAGUGAUCAACUUAAUUCUUGAUACGUUGAGAACAUCGCAGUUGUUCAUGGAGGAAGAUGCACCACCGACACGGUAGCAUCAGGACAACUGACAGCUGGCUGAGGUUGUGGGUGACGUGGAAGGUGACCUGUUCCUCCGCGCGAGGCUUUGCCAGCAGUGCUGAGCUGAAACCGCGUGUCCUGAAUUUUCCUUCAACGCCGCUGCAUCAUCUCUCUCCUCCCCCUCUUUCCCCCUCUCGUCCCUCGUCCGCGUUGCCACCCUGCUUACGUCCAUCCGUCCGUCCUUCCUCCCUUCCUUGUUACACCCUUCGCGCGCAGUCACCAGGUCUGCUACAUCUGCCGUUUCCUUCCUCUCAUGUCCGCGUUGUUUCUGCAAACUGACUUGGCGUAUUCGAAUAGAACGUGUGCUUCUUUUUGCUUUUUCGCCUGGAUAGGUUCACACUGCCGCACAGGCCUACCACUGUUUAAACAUCAACAGCAUUUCAUGUAGUGUAACUUCAAUGCAUAGAGUUUGGUGAGAUCAGUAGCGGCAGAGCGAUUGAGUAUUGAUUGACGUGAGAGUGUGGAUUCUUUUUUUUGAGUACGGAGAUUUGAAUUCUAUGUCCGUCGAUUGAGGAAGUUUACGGUAGUGGAGUUCGCUACAUAUUCUUUCAACCUGCCUGUCGACGGAGUUGCUUUUUGUGAGCGGCGUUGUGGGAGGUGGUGCGACCUCCGAGGAUUCAGCAUUUCAUGUUUUAAUUGCUGUAGCGAGACUUUAGGAAGAGGCUUACGAAUCGCUGGAAUGUUGAAGACAGGUUUCACCUAGCGAUGAAUCGACAUGUACGUAUUGAUCGUGUGAUUUGAGGUGAAGGUUUUGGCACGACACUCAUUGGGAUAUAGUUCGUGAGUUAUAGGGAAGCUGUUGCAUGUUUUGGAUUGAGAGCUCGCAAGGUUAAUGAGUCGUUAAGCCUAGUUGAGCUGUAGGGAAGAGUUUGGCUAACACGGACUUUGGGUUCUAGUGGCAGCAGACACUAUGACGGAUUCGAGAUAUUGAAGAGUACGACCGAGGAUAUAACUAAUUGGAGCUUGUACUUCACUGAGUGUUUUCUCCGUUUCCGAUUCUAGCCUACCAAUAAUUUUAGAGAAAUAAAAAUCAUGGUACAUAGACAAGGCAAUAGACCACUUCUUACCUGGCCAUUAAUAAUCCUCUCCCUUCUAUCGUUAGUUUCUGCCACAAGAGUUUCGCCAUUCGACUUUCGGGUGAGGCCUGAGCUGCACUCAGACCGUUCACCUGAACCUCAAGGGCCUCAAUCGUACGCUGCGUCAGAGUCGGCAUGGCCAUCAUUCAGAGAAGCACCGGUGUUUCGGAAUGGGAGGCGUUGCGCUUUUGUCAACAGAACAGGGAACGACACAUGCGAUCCAAACUCGGUGCACAUUGCGAUGACGCUUGAUGUAGAAUAUUUGCGAGGCUCAAUAGCUGCCAUCUUCUCUAUCUUGAAGCAUACAGCGUGCCCAGAGAAUGUUAUUUUUCACUUCUUCGCCGCGAAUCGAGAUGAGGAACUGCGAUUUCUCGUUUGUUCUAUUUUCCCUUUCUUGAGAUUCAAGGUGUAUCACUUCGACGAGGCGCUGGUGAACUCUAGAAUUUCGCCGUCCGUGCGACCGGCGUUGGAUCAUCCUUUGAAUUAUGCGCGGAGCUACAUGUCAGAUAUUCUAGAGCCCUGCAUACAGCGAGUUAUUUAUCUGGACUCGGAUCUCAUCGUGGUGGACGACAUUGUGAAGCUCUGGGGAACCAAGUUAGGACCUCAUGCCAUCGGCGCUCCAGAGUACUGCCAUACCAAUAUGACGAAAUAUUUCACCGACGCAUUCUGGGCAAACAGAACCUUAUCUCGCAUUUUCGAUGGGAAGAAGCCUUGCUAUUUUAAUACCGGAGUUAUGGUGAUGGACAUGACGAAGUGGAGAAUUGCGAAUUAUCGUGCGGAGAUCGAGCAUUGGAUGGGAGUUCAAAGCAGGACUAGGAUUUAUGAGUUAGGUUCACUUCCCCCGUUUUUGCUUGUUUUCGGAGGAUUGGUGGAGCCAAUUGACCACAGAUGGAAUCAACACGGCCUUGGUGGGGACAAUUUGGAGGGGAAGUGCAGAUCGCUUCAUCCCGGUCCCGUGAGUUUGUUGCAUUGGAGCGGUAAGGGGAAACCAUGGAUUCGAAUUGACCAGAAAAAGACAUGCCCUGUGGAUAGCCUUUGGGUGCCUUAUGACCUUCUCCUUUCCCCGUUGUCUUACCAAUAAGAGGACAUUUGAGGAAUGAAAAGAAGUGAAGGAAACGCUAACACCAAUUGCAGCGAAGGUUCUUAUGUUGUAGAUGUACAAUAUUAUAGAGUUGAUGAGGGCAUAGAGUAUUGACCGAUUCGUCUAUCUUAUACAAAAAAAAAUUGAUUCUAACACCAGUUUAACAAUUAAACCAGUGAACACUGCUCCGCACUAACUGUAGGGCAUCAUUCACGUAAGUGAGAUUGCUUCCUCGAGAACAUGAUCUGGUAGGGAUAGUGAGAACAUGUACAAACACUUGAGAAGAUUUUGUAUUUCGUGCGAAAGUUUUGUUCAGCAUAGCUAGAGGUGAUUCGUGCGGAGGGUCUGCAAAGUAUGAGCCGUUCGAUCGCUAGUAAUCGUGUUUGCAGAUUUCUUGUAGCUGGAAGCUUUGGAUUCUAGAUCACUAUUGCGCUGCUGAGCUUCUUAAGUAUUGUGGCACAAAUGUAAUAAGUUAUGAUGCGGCAACUGACAAAAACUUUGCCUACUCAUUGUCGCUCUGUUAUCUAUCCAGGGUUCAAUUCUCGAAUGUAUACAUUCAUAUGGUGAGUGUUCCAAAUUGCCCCGUAAUACCUGCUCGUUGCAACUCGGGCCUUAGAAUCAACCAGUGCAAUUCAGAAUUGUGAUAUUCUUGUGUUUGUUUUAUCUUCUCCUGUCCUGACCAGACUUUGGCAGCAGUGGGCGGACAGGAGAAGAUAAAAUAGUCGGACAAAUGCAAUGUGGUUGACACGAUGCCCAAGUUACUUCUCAUGCAUUGCUAUUAGUAUUAUUUCAAACAGUAACUACUACAGACUUUGCUUUGCAUGUUUCAUACACCACCGAUGCAAGAGUGUGCAUGAUAGAAAGAGGAUAAACUUGACAUAAAGAGAUCACAAUGACGAGAAAAAAAAAAAAAAAAAAAAAAAAAAAAAUUGUCAGUUUGAUGUUAAAUACAUAAAGAAAUCAACAAAACAAUAUGUGUGUAUAUAUCUAUAUACAUAACAAAUCUAAUAUUGAAGAAUCAUUUAUUUCAAGUUAGUGAACAAUUCAAAGUUACCAAAGAUAGUGGAAACUUAGGUCAAGAAGGUGGCAUAACUUCCCAUACAUUAGCAUCUUUAUCUUGUAUUUUUGAAUUGAACUAAUGUAUGAAGUAUUUUUAUUUAUAUUACAAGUAGAAAAUAUGUAAUUAGAUUAAUAUAUUCAAAUGAUUUAUGGUAUUUUUAAUCUAAAUGAAUAAGGUGUUAUUUAAAAAAGACGAUUGAUACUUCAAAGACUUUCAAAAAUAUUAAAUGAUUUUAUUUUAAAAUAAAUAAAAACUUCUAUUUUAUUUAAAGAAAAGAGAGUGUAUUCAAUUUUUAAUUGCUAAAGAAAGAAAAAAAAGAAAAAAAGAGGACGUUUCAAAGUGUGAGAGUGAUACAAAAAUAAAUAAAAAUAAAUACAUACAUAUGUUGCAUGCACAUUAAUAAAUACAUACAUAUCAAGCUUCCAAAUAGCAGUUAUGAAAUUAUGACUUACUCAAUUUUUGUAUUUACUGAACAAUACUUGAUUUGUCCAAUGCAACAAAUAACAAACCACUCACCAAUAAAAUCAAACAGGUACCAUCAAUCAGUUUUUUUCAUAUAAAUGUAUAUGCAUGAUGUAAAUUAUAAAGAGAACUCAAAUUGAUUGUGUUACCUAUUGAAUUCAUGGAUAGUAUAAUUAUACGAAUACGAUUCUAUACAUAGAACCUCUUGUACAUGAGUGAUGCACGGAUUUUAUGGAUGAUGAACAGCUAUUGUGGACGAAAUGACAUUUGGAUGAAAGAUAUUGGGAGCCGCAAACCCUAAAACGUUCAUCUUUCUCUCUCUCUCUCUCUCUCUCUGUCUCUCCCGGGAGCUCCCUAAACCGGAAGGAUUGAGACCCUAAACCCUGUCUCUCCCCACCCACUCUCUCGCGCUCGCCCUCUUUCUCGUUCCCCCACUCACUGCUUGCUACCUCCUUCGCAGCAGCAGCAGCAGCAACGCUCAAACUUACACAGACCAAGAGGGGACAGCCUGCGUGCCAUUCUUCCUCGCAACGCUCCUCCCACUCCCUCCUCAUUCCCCUCUCACCUCCCCGUUUUUCCCCUCCUCCUAGCACAUCCUCUCUAACCCUGUAUCACCCGUCAUGAGGCCGCCUCUGCGUGGAGGUCGCGGCGGGGGCGGAGGUUUCCGUGGUGGAGGCGCUCGAGGAGGAGGCCGCGGAGGCUUUGGAGGCCGCGGUGGCUUUGGAGGUCGUGGUGGUUACGAUGAAGGGCCUCCAGAAGAAGUCGUCGGUACAGUUGCUUUCCAUUUGCAGUUUGAUGUUUUCGAAUUCCUGCCUUACUCUGGCUUGGCCAUCACUAGGUUUGUAUAGGAAGUUUGUGUGUUCCACAAUGUAAUCGUCUGAAGCUGUUUUCACUUAGAGAUUAAGCCCUCGGUGGGAAGAUUAUUGCUGGUACUAUUGUGUUGUACUCUCCCUAUCCCCACAGACCUUGUCCUUCUUGACCGGGCAAUUCAGUUUCUUACAUUAUUGAUAAUGUGACGUUGGAGAGGCUGUAAGUUAUUGAGAAGCCCUGAAUUGGUUAGCGUCUUGGUUUUUAUAAUUGCAGAGGUUGCCUCAUACCUGCAUGCUUGCGAAGGAGAAGCAGUCACGAAGCUGACGAACGAGAAAAUUCCCUACUUCAAUGCUCCCAUUUACUUAGAAAAUAAGUCCCAAAUUGGGAAGGUGGAAGAGAUAUUUGGUCCUAUCAAUGAGGCUGUAAGUAUUGGCCUACAAUGGCUGACUGCAUGGACGUACGUCUGUAUAUUAAUGUGCAUGCAACAUUCUGUUCCGGAAAGUGAACUUUGCACUUGGAAUUUGUUUGAAUGCUAGCGAACUAUUUUUCUUUCAUUUCUCCGGGCAACCCAAGUGAAGUUGGUGUCUCAUGUGUUAUAUACUACUUGACACUUGGCCUAGCUGUUGCAGCAGGGUUUAAGAGUCCUCAAGUCAUUUUACCUUCGAAAUGAAGGUUUCUUGGCGUUUGAACGACAAAUCUACUGUGCAGGAAUCUGAGUUGGAUGUUCGUUGGCUCCCUGGUGUGCAGAUGUUUUCUGUGAAGAUGCAAGAGGGAAUUAUUGCAACUUCCUAUAAGCCCGGUGACAAGUUCUAUAUCGACCCUGCCAAAUUGCUCCCACUGACUCGGUUUUUACCUCAGCCUAAGUAAGUACUCCAAUCUUCAACCGUGGUUUGAUUUUUCUGUUUAUAUUUAUAUGCCGGUUCUGAUAUUUUGCCAUGUCUCGAACGACAGCAAUACUUCGUGUUUCGCCAAUACCUCAAUGUGUGCUCAUCUAUCAUUUUUAUGCAUUGCAGGGGAUCAACUCCUGGAGGGGGCAGGGGCGGUAGAGGUGGAGGUCGUGGAGGUACCGAAACAUUCCUUUUUCUUUUUACAUUUCUUCUUCUGUCUCUGUCCUUUUUUUUACUCUCCCAGCUGUUCCACGAACUUUUCUGUGAAAAUUACGGGAAGUUAGAUCUUGGUUGAAUGCAUGAAUUAAUUCUUCACUACUAGCUUGCCCAAAUUGAUCUGUGUCCUUUUAUUAAGUUUUCCAUGUCUUGCUUGUGAAAUUCCAGGGCGAGGUGGAGCAAGGGGUGGCGGUCGCGGAGGAUUUGGUGGACGUGGUGGAGGAGGAUUUCGGGGUGCUCGAGGUGGCGGUGGUGGUAGAGGUGGUUUUGGAGGUGGGGGCGGCGGUAGAGGUGGCGGUUUUGGAGGUCGGAGUGGUGGGGGCUUCAGAGGAAGAGGUCGUUCGUAGUUUUGACCAAGUGCAUAUCUCAAUCCGUCCUUUUAGAUCUCUGGUCAACGAGUCUAAGUAGGUUCUAUACGUUUGGGUUGGUGAUGGAUUUGCCACAUCUCUUAAUUAUUUCAUGCAAAUUGAGCACAAAUUUUGACCAUUCUGUAGAACCCACUACCAUAUAAUUGCAUUACCACUCACGCUAGGGAAUCUAAAUUCUAAUGAGUGUAUUCUGGUAUUCCGAGAUUUGAGCUCUUGCCAGAAAGCCGGUAGGGUUGACACUAAAAGGGUGGACCUGUGAGUUCAUAUCGAGCACUUUUCGCAAGUUCACGGUGUGCAUACAGAUCUGGUUGGCCGCAUACUCCUCAGAUCGUAAUUCGAACGGCCAUCUCUGCGUAUGUCAAUUAUGGCAUCUUCCGCAAGGAGGGCUAAUAUCACUCUAUUUUACGCAGAUUUUGAAAUGUCAUUGCUGUUUUGUUACUGAUUCACGCAAAGUCUAAUGGCUAUAAUGUCGUAUUUUAUGUAUGCCUCUACAUUAUAUAACCCUUUGCCUCAAUUCUUGGUUCUGAAUCGGAAAAACGUGUUAAAAGAUUAAUUUGUGAGUAAAUGGAACGCAAAUUUCGUAACUUGCUUCUCAUUUAGUUGGCCAUCGUGGGAAGUGGCAACACAUAGUGUAAGAUGGAGAAAGUUACCCCGAACCCCUAGCAGAGGUGGUCAGAUAGCCAGGUCUACUAGUACAAAUUCAUGUGAGGUUUUUUUCAGUCAGUGCUGCAGAACCACCGCUGACGUACAAAUUCAUGUGACUGAUUUUUUCAGUCAGUGCUCGCUUAUCUUUUCUUAUUCUUGGCUUUCUUGCCUUUGCACGCUAUGACUUUAUGUAAAUACCUUAUGGUGUACAAUUUCAAUCGACGUCCUUUUCCACACUGAAUAAGUACUUGAAGUUUGGUUCCACUGCAAAUGUGUCAUCGUUUAUGAUGUCAAUUUGCAACUAACGAUGCAUGUAUAUGUACCUAAAUCUGCAUCAUAGUAAUUCCACUUAUCAAGCCGGUAACCAAGAUUCGAUAAAAGGUAUUGAUUUAGCAUGCGCCGAUGAUUGCUCCUCAUUAAGUUUUCGCGUAUUGCUGAUAUUUAGCAAAUGUGCACAAUCGACGAGUAAUAUUUUUUAAUAUAAAUUUAAAAGCUAACACACGAAUAUCUAACGUGAUUCUCAUCUUGCGCUGCUCAUUACUCUCCAAUCGACGAGUAAUAUUUUUUAAUAUAAAUUUAAAAGCUAACACACGAAUAUCUAACGUGAUUGUCAUCUUGCGCUGCUCAUUACUCUCUUCGCCAACAUUUCAGAAGUACCUCUAACCCCCUUCUCAGAACAUUCUUCUUCAACGAGUCAUACAACCCUGAACAAAAACACGAGAACAUAAAAGAAUAAGAAGUUCAGAAAGAAAGAGAGAAAUAAACGAAUAAGCAGGGGUUUCAACUGUGCAAUCCGCAUCUUCAUCAAUUGCGGGAAUCAAUGCUUAAUGGAUAAUAUCUUCUCAGUGUUUUUUCUUUUGAAAACUCUAACGCACAAGACGAGUUAGAAUAAUGAUAUACACGGAGUUUCUUGUGAGGUCGGGUUGUCAUGAGACGGGAGGGGUAUUUUCAUGCGGGGCAAUGAGAGGGGAUAGAACGAAGUGCCAAACAGCAUGAGUUUGUAGGGAACUGGAAUGCGUUUCUCAAAACACGGCGUCAGGGAAAGUCCAAAUUAAACCUAAACGGAAGGCGAGUUUCCCGCGUCUGACGUUAGACUCAGGGUUUACAUGCGAGAUCCAAGCACCAUUACAAAUUGGAUGGAUAUCAUCUACUAUGAGCACCUUUUAUAAUUCGUACAUCCACCUUUGCUUAACCACGGCCGCCGUGGACUGAAGAAGUCGGAGACUUGUGUCCACAGCCUCUUCAUUGCUCGUUUGUGAGAUCCCUGGCCCCCAGAUUCCAUUGCGCACUGGCUGAUUUAUUUACGCCAGUCCGCUUCCAUUUCUUUCUGCACAACAUACGUUUCUAAUUUCGGAAUAGGGGUUUGGGAGUUUCCUCACGGCGCGAAUUAGAUCUGGACAUCAAUAUUUUAUUAUGAGGGUUUGGCUGGGUUCCAGCCUUGCUCUGGUGCGUCCUUUGGGGAUGGAAUAGGUGGCAACGUGCACUCAAGUAUCCAUUGGAGCGGGUGCGUGUGAGUAAAGAAGAAGAAAGCCAAGGAGCGGGCGACGGAUUCGAAAGAGAUUGUGAAAGCAGGUUACGGAUCCAGCCAUGAGGAUGGAGAGGUUGCUGGCCGGAGACAUGGCCAUGGCCUCCGGAGAUGUGGCAGCGAACCUAGUUAAUGCUCAGUACGAUGGAUUCACAAACUUCCCUAUUGUGGCUGCGUUCCUUUCAUUUUUCGUGGCGCAAUCGCUUAAAGUGUUGACUACCUGGUAUUUUCACUUGCGCCACUAUUUUUUCGUAUCUCCACUCGUCCUGUUGCUCUCUCAUUUCAGUCUUAUCUUUGCGUUUGUGACACUAACGUACUUCCUUGGGACUUUCAACAUUUGACCUUCCCUAUUCCUGAUCGUUGUUGUUUUUUUGAUAUACUAAGCUAGGGCUUUCUUAUAUUUACUCCUACCUCCCCUUUCAGUUCAUAUCUAGCGUCCAUCGUUGGCUGAUCGGUUUGGUCUCUGCUUUAAUCAUGCACUAUUCGGUAUUCUCGAAGAAUGAUUCGUGUUUGAACCGGACUUGGUUUGAAUGUUGUAUAUGGAGCGAAACUUGAAGCUUUUCGCUUAGUCAAUUCUUUUCGAAAAUUUAAAUUUAGGUUUUUUUUUUUUUUUUUUUUUUUUUUAAUAAUUGUAAAGUCUAGCCAUUAGGGUGUGAAAGCGAUUAUGCUUUCUAAUGAAAUGCUUUUUUGUUGAAUGUAAGCCGAAACGAUUUUGCUGUUGCUAACUUGAGUAUUAGGGAGCAGUUUGUUAAGCUUUUCUAUCAGCGUGUGCAUUUCAAAGGUAGUUUUUCAUAAAGCUUUGCAUGGAAUGCCCUAAGUUGGCCGUACUUUUUUUCAAAAAUGUUGUAUGUAUUUCACGUCUGGAUUUGCGGAUACUCUCUGGGAAUUGUGGUAGUAUCCUUACCGAGGAUGAAAGAUGUUUCGGAAUGUGAUUUGGGAGUUCAUUGUGAAAUAGUAGUGCUUGUUUUGCUAUAGCAUUUAUAAUAUUAUUGCUCAAUUUUUCAAGCAUCCAAAGAUUUCUGGUUAGCGUUUGUCAUGUCUUUGCACCAAGGGCUCUUUUUAUUUACAAAUCUACCUUAGGGUAGGUGAGCAGGUACAAGGAGAACAGGUGGGAUGUGAAACGCUUGUAUGGUUCAGGCGGUAUGCCUUCUUCUCACUCUGCAACGGUGACAGGGCUCGCGUGUGCUAUCGGCCUUCGUGAAGGUCUUGGUGGACCUCUCUUUGCAAUCGCCUUUGUGCUGGCCUGCAUUGUAUGUGCUCUAAACUUUGGCUGGGUGCCACCGUAUGACAAACUUAUUAAUCUUGAACCAUUUUGUAUGUGACAUUCAAAUGUAAUUGAAUCCGAUUUUAUUAGUACCUGGUUUUGUCCAAAUAUCAUGUUUAAUCAGCACCCACUUAUUGUGUCGUUUCCUUCUUAAUAAGCAAUCUCGAAUAGAUUUUGUAAUUACACUGCGAGCUCAUUUUGCAUGUCUGUUUUGUAUACACAAAUCAUUCAACCUGUUGUGUGUAAGCAACGAGUUAAUAUGAAGGUUGUGAACUGAGGAUAAUUGCUCGUUCUUAAUUUUUUCUUAUCCUUUGCUCGCUUCAGGUUAUGUAUGAUGCGUCAGGUGUUAGACUUCAAGCUGGUCGUCAGGCCGAGGUUUGCAGUUGCUUUUCUUUUCCUUCUCUGCACAAUGAUGACGGAACUAACUUCUUUUGUUUUUGUCUAUAUCAAUGUCUUGCGUAGCUGUCUCAUUUGAACAAUUGAUCUGACUUUCAUUGAUUUGAUCAUAAAUGGUACAUGCUUAGCAGAUAGCGAAAUCAGAAUCACUAGUGUUUAGAUGCGUAGAUACAUUCUAUGUCAGGUUCAUACUUACUUGGCUUUGAAGCUUGGUCUAUUUGCAGGUGUUGAAUCAAAUAGUGUUCGAGCUUCCGCCAGAGCAUCCUCUAUCGGAUUCUAGGCCGUUAAAAGAAUUUCUUGGACAUACUCCUCCGCAGGUGUGACUUGCUUUAUUCAUAUGUUUGCAUUCACACAGUUCUUCUUUUUCAAAUUGGGAAUUUCCGUGUGGUCUCUCUGUACCUCUUCUUUUCUUUUCUUUUUUUCUUUAUAUCUGCUAAUUGCGUUUGCUAGAAUCAUUUUAAGCAACACUUGAGUUCUUGCUCUUGCUCUCGCUUGAUGCGUUGAUUCCACCUAUUCUUGUUCUAAUCUCUUAUCCUUGAGCUGCAGUUAUUUGAUGAAGAUGCUCUUUAGCAAGCAGCUUCAGGCAUGCUAGUGUAACUGUGAUGUGGUUUUGAUUCCCAGGUAGCUGCAGGUGCCAUGCUGGGGUGCUUGAUAGCCUACACACUACACCUGCUUUCACUAGUAGGACCCUCAACCUAGUUCUUUCUGUAGUUAGCCGCAGAAAAAUCGAACAUUAUCUUCGCUAAUGAAAGCAAACUUGGGUUUGUAUGUGGUAUUAGUAACUCACCAUUUUUUAGAGUUAGCUUGCUUUCCAGUGGGAAGCGUCAGCCAAGUAUUGUCAUAUAGUCUACAAUUAGCUGAUGACUCGGGUUAUAUUCCGUUAGUGCUUUUGAGUGCUUGUGGAUUAGCAUGUGUCAUGUUCUGAACACUGUAAGAAUUAAGAUAAUUUAAUUUACAAACAGUGUUGGGCUGUUGCUUGAUGGCUUCCUGGCUUUGGUCAGGUAUGGUCAAA
This 18197-nucleotide long non-coding RNA is filed under the name Physcomitrium patens. RNAcentral describes it as "long non-coding RNA (PPAT_LNC003909)". The record is from RNAcentral. Lineage: Eukaryota; Viridiplantae; Streptophyta; Bryopsida; Funariales; Funariaceae.